RNAcentral lists this long non-coding RNA (2193 nucleotides) under Bos taurus (domestic cattle). RNAcentral describes it as "long non-coding RNA NONBTAT029461". The record is from RNAcentral. Lineage: Eukaryota; Metazoa; Chordata; Mammalia; Artiodactyla; Bovidae.
CAGCCUUCCCAAAACCUGUCUGGCAUUUGUUUCUGGCCUGGUAGGGAAUAUCUUCCAUCUUUCUCUGAGCAUUCAUAAAACAAUACAAAGGUAAACAAUUGGAGGGCAAUUAGCAGUCUCUUUGGGGUAACAGAAGAGAGAAGUCAUCCUGCUAUUAAUGUCAGAGGAAUUAAUCAUGGUUUACAUAGGUGAUUUACUGGCUUAACUUUGCAAGUGGUUGAAACACAAGAACCCAACAAAGUUUACAAAAGAUGCUAGCUUGGAGAACCAGGUAUGGCGGACAGCUUACAGAACUAUCUGUCAAGUAGUUGAAGGUGUUAAAGUUGUUGAGAUGGUGCCUGUUUUGUAAGAGGCCAUGUGGAGUGCAGAUUUGUGUUUCUCAAACUUUAGUGUGAGAUGUAUACCUGGCCAGCUUUGUUAACAUGCAGUAGGUCUAGGGACUGGGCUGUGAUUCUGCCUUCUUAAAAACAAAAACAUUUAUGUACUUAUUUGGCUGCACCAGGUCUUAGUUGCAGCAUGGGGAUCUUCAGUUGUGACAUGUAGUUCCCUGACCAGGGAUUGAACCUGAGCCUCCUGCAUUGGGAGCAUGGAGUCUUAGCCACUGGACCACCAGGGAAGUCCCUAAUUCUGCCUUUUCAACACAUUGUCAGGUGCAGUGCCCAUGCUGCAGGCCAGCACAUCUCAUUUUGCAUAGCAAGGCUGUAGAUUGUUCUUGUACCUGUGGCAGGUAGGAUAAAGCUGCUCAUACUCCCUUUAAGAAUCUCCAUUUAUCAACAUGUUGCACUCUGAAUGUUCAUGGCUUAAGGGAUCAGAACAGCUUUUGGGAGUGGAGGUAGUUGGCCAAAUACUUCAUUGUGCAUAUCAACAACUUCUUUCACAAGCACCAAUUUAAAAAAAAAAAAAACAUAAAAAUAUUUACAGGCCAUGUUUAUUUACAUUUAUUGAACUAUACCCUUAAAAGAAAACAGGAAAUGUAAUCUCUGUAACUAAAGCCCCUCUGUGAUUAAAACCUCAGAAAAUGCACUAUUGUUUCUAGUUUGAAUGCUGAGCCUCUUAACAAGUUUUGGCAUUGGGGAAGCCCCUUUGAAAGCUGGGAUCUUUUACCAUUGCUUGACUAGCUUUUCAAGCCAUUCAGUUAUCAAAUGUGGUUUGUUUCAGAAUGCCUGAUCGUGUUGUAUAAAGGGGUCCCUCAGUAUCUGAGGAGACUGGUUCCAGGACCUUGCUCAGAUACCCAAGUAGGUGGAGGCUCAAGUCCCUUCCAGUACAUCCUCCACAGGGGCUGGUUCUGCAUUCACAGAUUCAACUGGCAGCAUCCACUGAACCGUGGGCUGAAUAGGUGGAUUCAGAACCAGUGGAUACCGAGUGCCAACUGUACUUUAUUUUUAAACUUUUUUUUGGUUCCAAAUACUUCCCAUACUUUAAAAACCAUACUUUAAAAACGGAGAUCCUCUGUUGGUUUUUGGUAUGGACAUAGAGCCACAUUACAACACAGAGAACACACUUCUUUUGCCACUUACUGUGAAACAUGUGAUUUUCAUUAGCCAUUUUUCUCUUCUUGGAAGGAAACUUAGGAGUAUAAGCCUUCAUUUAGAGUAUUCUGAACACUUCUACUAACCUUUCCCUUUUCCCCAUGUCCCUCUUCUCCUCCCUUUCUCUCCUUCCCUCCUUUCUUCACUGUGUUUUCCGGUACCUGGAUGUCUGCCACACCUGGGGUAGGGGAGAGGGAGAAGGUAAGCGGGGGAUCUUGAUUUUGACUCUCUGGUCUCACUCAGUUGCUGUCCAUAAAUGGCUAUGUGGGUUGGCUAUUUGUGAGAAGGUUAAAUGAUUUCUGAGGAGGGGUGGCACAUCUCUUUGGUAAAGUGAAGAGUAUGAGAUGGGAAUACAAAAGGAGCCAGGACACCUGGAUUCUAAUCCUUGUUUAGCCACUCACCAAUUAUUUGGCCUUGGAGGGCAAUUUAACCUCCCCGGGUUUCAGCUUCCUAAUCUGUAAUUUGAUAUACAUAUUUGGUUAUGCCUAUUUCUCAGAGUGUAGGAGUCUUAUCACUGGGAUGGCAUUAGAUUACAUUGAAUCACAUAUUGAGAACUGUACUUCCUUGGCAGUCACUUUCAUUUCUUUCUGGUUGUUCAAACAACAUCAACAGCAACAAAAAGAAAACUAUUCUCUGUUCACAUUCAUUAAUAUUUUCCUAGGAC